Molecule: microRNA precursor, 83 nt
Filed under: Bombyx mori (domestic silkworm)
Lineage: Eukaryota; Metazoa; Arthropoda; Insecta; Lepidoptera; Bombycidae
Description: mir-2807 microRNA precursor family
Rfam family: mir-2807 microRNA precursor family
Source: Rfam by way of RNAcentral
CUAACUCAAAUUUUUAUGUAGUUCGAUCGUUUGCCUACGUUUGCCAUUAGGGGCGCUGUUCAACUGCAUACAAGUUUGAGUUA